GAUUGGAUUAGGCAUGCAAGUCGAACGGGAUCCAGGGCUAUAGCAAUAUAAUCCUGGUGAAAGUGGCGUAAGGGUGAGGAACACGUGGAUAAUCUACCCUCAAGUUGGGAAUAACCCGCCGAAAGGCGGGCUAAUACCGAAUGUGGUGUCCUGACGCAUGUUGGGACAACUAAAGGUGGGGACCCUUCGGGGCCUGUCGCUUGGGGAGGAGUCCGCGUCCGAUCAGCUUGUUGGUGGGGUAACGGCUCACCAAGGCUAUGACCGGUAGCUGGUCUGAGAGGAUGGUCAGCCACACUGGGACUGAGACACUGCCCAGACUCCUACGGGAGGCUGCAGUCGAGAAUCAUUCGCAAUGCCCGAAAGGAAUC
RNAcentral lists this ribosomal RNA (368 nucleotides) under uncultured bacterium. RNAcentral's name for it is "bacterial SSU rRNA". It matches the Rfam family "Bacterial small subunit ribosomal RNA", at positions 45 to 387 of the family's 1533-position model. The record is from RNAcentral.